ACUCAAUUACCCAAGUCUGGCCAUAAGGGGCCUGGUGAUACCAGGUAGGCGGAGCAAUCCGCGCACAGGUUCAAAUCCUGUAUUGAGUCCC
RNAcentral lists this transfer RNA (91 nucleotides) under compost metagenome. RNAcentral's name for it is "tRNA-Ile". The record is from RNAcentral.